Molecule: ribosomal RNA, 253 nt
Filed under: uncultured bacterium
Lineage: Bacteria
Description: partial 16S ribosomal RNA
Rfam family: Bacterial small subunit ribosomal RNA
Source: RNAcentral
UACGUAGGGUGCUAGCGUUGUUCGGAAUCAUUGGGCGUAAAGCGCGUGUAGGCGGUUUGGUAAGUCGAUUGUGAAAUCCCUGGGCUCAACCGAGGAAGUGCAGUCGAAACUACCUGGCUAGAAGACGGCAGAGGAAGGUGGAAUUCCUAGUGUAGAGGUGAAAUUCGUAGAUAUUAGGAGGAAUACCGGUGGCGAAGGCGGCCUUCUGGACCGAUCUUGACGCUGAGACGCGAAAGCGUGGGGAGCAAACAGG